This 1344-nucleotide ribosomal RNA is filed under the name Mycobacterium sp. P-46. RNAcentral's name for it is "bacterial SSU rRNA". It matches the Rfam family "Bacterial small subunit ribosomal RNA", at positions 28 to 1385 of the family's 1533-position model. Lineage: Bacteria; Bacillati; Actinomycetota; Actinomycetes; Mycobacteriales; Mycobacteriaceae. The record is from RNAcentral.
GACGAACGCUGGCGGCGUGCUUAACACAUGCAAGUCGAACGGAAAGGCCCUUCGGGGUACUCGAGUGGCGAACGGGUGAGUAACACGUGGGUGAUCUGCCCUGCACUUUGGGAUAAGCCUGGGAAACUGGGUCUAAUACCGAAUAUGACCGCGCACUUCCUGGUGUGUGGUGGAAAGCUUUUGCGGUGUGGGAUGGGCCCGCGGCCUAUCAGCUUGUUGGUGGGGUAAUGGCCUACCAAGGCGACGACGGGUAGCCGGCCUGAGAGGGUGACCGGCCACACUGGGACUGAGAUACGGCCCAGACUCCUACGGGAGGCAGCAGUGGGGAAUAUUGCACAAUGGGCGCAAGCCUGAUGCAGCGACGCCGCGUGAGGGAUGACGGCCUUCGGGUUGUAAACCUCUUUCAAUAGGGACGAAGCGCAAGUGACGGUACCUAUAGAAGAAGGACCGGCCAACUACGUGCCAGCAGCCGCGGUAAUACGUAGGGUCCGAGCGUUGUCCGGAAUUACUGGGCGUAAAGAGCUCGUAGGUGGUUUGUCGCGUUGUUCGUGAAAACUCACAGCUUAACUGUGGGCGUGCGGGCGAUACGGGCAGACUAGAGUACUGCAGGGGAGACUGGAAUUCCUGGUGUAGCGGUGGAAUGCGCAGAUAUCAGGAGGAACACCGGUGGCGAAGGCGGGUCUCUGGGCAGUAACUGACGCUGAGGAGCGAAAGCGUGGGGAGCGAACAGGAUUAGAUACCCUGGUAGUCCACGCCGUAAACGGUGGGUACUAGGUGUGGGUUUCCUUCCUUGGGAUCCCGUGCCGUAGCUUAACGCAUUAAGUACCCCGCCUGGGGAGUACGGCCGCAAGGCUAAAACUCAAAGAAAUUGACGGGGGCCCGCACAAGCGGCGGAGCAUGUGGAUUAAUUCGAUGCAACGCGAAGAACCUUACCUGGGUUUGACAUGCACAGGACGCCAGUAGAGAUAUUGGUUCCCUUGUGGCCUGUGUGCAGGUGGUGCAUGGCUGUCGUCAGCUCGUGUCGUGAGAUGUUGGGUUAAGUCCCGCAACGAGCGCAACCCUUAUCUUAUGUUGCCAGCGCGUAAUGGCGGGGACUCGUGAGAGACUGCCGGGGUCAACUCGGAGGAAGGUGGGGAUGACGUCAAGUCAUCAUGCCCCUUAUGUCCAGGGCUUCACACAUGCUACAAUGGCCGGUACAAAGGGCUGCGAUGCCGUGAGGUGGAGCGAAUCCUUUCAAAGCCGGUCUCAGUUCGGAUCGGGGUCUGCAACUCGACCCCGUGAAGUCGGAGUCGCUAGUAAUCGCAGAUCAGCAACGCUGCGGUGAAUACGUUCCCGGGCCUUGUA